AAAACUGGCGGACUGAGAGCAAAAAUAAACAAAGCUGUCUUCUUUCUCGCUUUCUUUCAAAAGCAGAUUCGAGUGAGUGGUCAGUUCUUUGGAGUUAUCGGCUGGGAGAGUGAGAAAGAGAGCUCUGCAUUUCUCCUUAGGCAGCAACAGCCGAGAGAGGAAAAAGAAAAGAGCAACCGAACAGCUUUUCCAUUUCUGCACUUUUUAACCAACCAAAGCCGAGAGCUAAGAGGACAAACCAGUCUGCAACUACAAGUAUCAGCUACAUCAGUGAGGAGAAAAGGAUAGCGGGUGCAAGAGUGGAGGAACCAAAGCCGAGGGAGAGGACAGUGAUCUGUAAUUAUCGAGCUUUGGGAAAGAAAAGGUAAGAAUCUGUAACCACGCUUUUAUUUCUUGAAUAUAACUGAGAAUAGGGGCUGCAUGUUGGGUUUUAGCCAGGAAUAACAAGAUUUAGCUGAAGAGAAUUCUGAUAUGGAAGAAAAAUAGGAGUUGGACUGAAGUUGGGGAACCGAGAGCUUGCAUGUUGAGUUGCAGCCUGUUAUUAUUGUAAAAAUGGAAACUAAUGAUAGGUUUUGCAUGUAAUACGUUGGCUUCUGAUGUUUUGGGAAGUUUAGUUGAAGAAAACUUGGGAAAAGGUGGAACUUUGGGUUGAGACCGUAGGAAGAAACAUGCUGGAAUUUUUCCAGCUUCACCCGAGAGGAAGAAACUGAAUUUUGUAGCUUAGUAACCGAGUAUAUGGAGUAAUUUUCUGCUAGAAGCUCAAACCAUGUGUUAUUUCCUUGUCUUAUCUGAGUAACUAGUGCAGAGUUGUUAGCUUGAGUGAAAAAUUUGCAAGAAUUAACUAGUGGUUUUGUCUAGCUAGCCGAGAGAUGAAGAAAGAAAAUUUUCCAGAUUUCUGGUUCCAAAUUCGUCGAAGUUGAAUACCUUGCAUAAUCUUUUAGUUUUAGCAUGCAUGUUGGAUUUGAAUGGGAAAUAAAGUAGUUAAUGGAGAAGUUCUUGUUUAAAAACUAAUUGCUGUCCAAAACAGUCACAGCUUGACCGAGAGAGAGAAGUAGACUUCAGAUUGUUCUGCGUAGCUUUUGGGUUGAAUAACUUGUUGAAAUUAGAUGCUAUUUGCCUUGUUAUAUGCUGGACUGAAUGUAACUUAAGUAUUUAGAGCUUUAAGCAAGUGAAAGAAUAGAGUUUUUGCUUAAAGUUUGAAGUAACGUUACUAGAAUUUUUGUGGUUGCUGUCCAAGAAAAUGAAACAGAUUGUGCUUCUGACCGUCCCUUUUUUACCUUGAAAAUGCAAGAACUGGGUGUCGAUAUCUUCAUAUGAAAUGUAGGUAUAUGUCUUAGUUUCAAAACGCUAUAAAAUUUACCUCAAUCUGAUAAGUAUAGCUCCAGUUAUGAUGAAAACACCAGAGAGUGGCAAUGCAGAAUAUUGGCCGAGGGAGUGAAGCAGAAUGUGCUUCUAUCCGGCCAUUUUUGACCCUGAAAAUGUGAGAACUGGGUGUCAAUGUCUUCACAAAAAAUGUAGGUCUAUAUCUUAGCUUUGAAACGCUAUAAAAUUUGCCUCAAUCUGAUAAGCGUAGCUCCAGUUAUGAUCAAAACACCAGAGGAUGGCAAAGCUACCUUUCUCGUUGCCUUUCCUUUUGUUCCCGAAUGCACUUUGAUAAGAUGCUAACCGUGAGGAACCAACUUUUAACCAGCAUUUCUUCUAAUUUCCAACCUUGUAAGCUUUCAUAAAUAAUAGCUAUGAUUGUUCUGAGAAUCAACGGCUAUACCUAGUUUCAAGAGUAGAGUUAAACUAAGGCAAUUGAGUGAAAAACUCACAAUAGUUAUAUACCUAAAUUGGCUUCUAAUUACUUAAUAUUGUCUUCACAAAUAUUUUAGAGUAUAAAAUUUGAGGGACUGGCGUAGUGGAAUAAAAAUUAAUUUACAAAUAACCUAGAGUUUAAUUAAUUAAAAAGCGGACCAAUGGAGUACUCCUAAACCGUAAUCUUAGAAUCUUAAAUGGAAAAUAAUUUAAUCCAAAAAUAAAUAUUUUAUAAAUUAUUAACUUGAAAAAAAAUACAUAUAUUCUUGAUUUAAUAUAAUAAAGUUAAUAAGUUUCGAAAUAAAAUGCGGAAUAAAUAUUGGAGGAUCAAUAUUGAGUAUAUUUGUAUUUUAAGGUCAAACUUGACUUUAAUCGAUCAAAUAAUAGGAUAAUAAAUAAUAAGUGAACAUCUACAAAUUAUAUAUUUACUUUGGAAUUAUUAAUUUGCCCAGGAAGUAGCUGUGAGCCAGGAAAACAACCCGAGACUCGAGAGUAAUUUAUUUGGAUAAUUGGUGAGUGUUUUCAGAAUUUAUGUGUUAAACUAUUUAUGUGUACCUAAGUGAAAUUAUGUGACAAAUGUGCUUAUUAUGAAUUAUUACUAAAUGAUUCAGUGUAAAGUUUAUCUCAAUUGUCCCUCGCCUUCUAAAUCAGGAGUGUACUUCAUCGCACUCAAUUUAGUUGAGUUUGAAGGUCGAUAAUUGACUGAAUGUUACUGUAAGUGUGCAUGAAUGUAAGUCGUGUGUGUGGGUGUUGAUCUUGAUCCCUAUCUUUUGAUGUUUACAAGACAAAUGGAUGUUACUAAUGUCUCUUAAAAGAUCUAUUCAGUUAUGAAACAAAUUAGUUCCAAAGAUCAAGUACAAUUGAAAGAUGACAAAGUAUGCUGAAACUGUCGGACGCUCAAGAAGUCAGAAUCGGACGUCCGAUAAUCAUUGCACAACUUCGGACGUCCGAUCGGAUCCUUCGAAGUCGACGAAACUAUCGGACGCUGAAUAUGUCUCUACCGGACGUCCGAUAGAAACAAGAUAAUUUCUCAAAUCUGUUUGUUUGCACCGGACGUCCGAAAGAAUUGAAGAAAAUCUCUGAAACUCACUGCCUGCUGUCGGACGCAUAAAACAGAGCUAUCGGACGUCCGACACUCCAACGGCUAGUUGACUCUUCAACUACUUUCUAUCCGUUGGAAACUUUAAUGAGGCUCUUUCUUGGUCCUAUAUAAAUAGUGAUUGGUCAGAUACUUCAAACAACUUUGGCACACUGAAGAUAUAAAAGAUCUAGAGAGAUUUUAGUGAGAAAAUACUCUUCAAAGAAGAUUUGUAGUCUUAGUGGUGUAAGGUUCAUUGUAAGUUUUUCAUUUGUGAGUGAAUACUUCAUGAGUGUAGGUCUGUGAGGGUUGUCCUGAGGGAUAGUAAAACGUCCUGAUUUGACCGAGGGAUUCGGGGUAAGGAGGAGGUGAACCUUCCUUUGUACACAAGAGUGAUUGUAAUUCAUCAAUUUGAAGUAACUUGUUUGAAGCUCAAGAGGAGCUGGAUAGUUAAUUGGUUUGCAAUUCUUUCCUUUUACUUAUUGUUACAUUUAUGAUCUUUGCAUUGUUUAUCUCUUUCACUUGGUUGUUUCCGAUCCUUACAAUUGGUAUCAGAGGUUGGUCUCCUUGAGAUUAAGCUCAAUCGGCUUGGGAGUAAAAAUGACAACCAAUAAUGCUAUGUUUUUUGAAGGACAUUCUGUUAUUAGACCACCUAUGUUUAAUGGGUCAAAUUAUAUGAGUUGGAAAGAAAGAAUGAUUAUCUUUUUGCAAUCUAUUGAUAUCGAAUUGUGGUUUAUUAUUAGUGAAGGUCCAUAUGAUGCCUCUCUUAUAGAUGAAAAUACUCAUGCAUCUAGACCGAAAACAAGAAGUGAACUGACUGCUGUGGAUAGAGCUCAUCUCACCUUAAAUGCAAAAGCCAUGAAUGUGUUAUAUUGUGCAUUAGACUCAAAUGAAUCUAUUAGAGUCAAGGGUUGCAAGUCAGCUAAAGAAAUUUGGGACAAACUGAAAGAAAUUCAUGAAGGUAGUGAGAAUGUUAGAGAACAAAAGAAGUCCAUUCUAGUUACAAAGUAUGAAUCUUUCAAGAUGGAACCUCAUGAAAAUGUUGAUCAAAUGUAUUGUAGAUUCAAUGAUCUCAUUAAAGAUUUAGAGGUGCUGGAAAAAGAAUAUUCUCUUGGUGAGAAAAAUAGAAAAAUCCUGAAUGCCUUGUCCAAUGAUUGGGAAAAUAAAGUGACUGCUAUUGAGGAGGCUAGAGAUUUGAAUACUAUGCCUAUUGAAUCUCUUAUUAAUUCUCUUACCUCUUAUGAGCUGAAACUUAAGACUAAGGUGCAAGAGGAAGAGGAUGCAAAAGUGCGAAAGAAUAUUGCUCUAAAAGCCUCACAAGAUGAAGAUGAUUCUGCCUCCCUAGAUGAAGAAGAUGUGGAAGGUGAUGACAAUGAUAUCGCUCUCAUCACAAGAAGUUUCAAACGAAUACUCAACAAGAGGAGAUUCAGAAAAGGUGGACCUAGCAAUUCAUUCCCAAAUCAGUUCAACAACUCGAGAAACAAAGGGAAGCUAGAGUUCAACAAAAAGCAAACUGAUCAGUGCUUUGAAUGCGGCCAACCUGGACACUAUGCAAGUGACUGUCCAGUGAUGAAGAAGAAAGAAGGAAGAAAACCAAGAAUAAACAAAUUUCAAUUCACAUGGAAUGAAUGCAAUUCCGAUGGUGAAAUUGAAGAGGAAGAUCAAUCUGCUCAAUUGGCUUUCAUGGCCAUUGGAGAUGAUGAGGUAACAUCUUCUAACUCUCAAUCUGAUUGUGAUGAUGAAACUGAAGAUGAUCUUGAACAUUUCAUUAUAAAAUUGCAUGAUAGUUUGAAAGAAUCUUAUGCUAGAAACAAGGAGUUAAAACAGAAAAUUAGUUUUUUUUCGAGAUAAUGCAAAUCUUUUUCAACAAAAAAAAAGUUGAUUGCUGAAAAUGAUUACUUCAAAAAGAGUGAGACUGCUUUACAUUUUGAGCUUGAUAGAAAAGAAACUUUGUGAUUUGUUCAAAAAGGAACAAGGUGAUUUGAAAAGAAGAAUGGAUGGUCUAAAUGAGUUGCUUAAACACAAGAAACAAGUCUGUUUUCAAAAGAAUAGGUUGAAUUCUAAUUCAAAUGAGUUUGCUAUCCAUAGGAGAAGACAAUAAGAUUUAUUAAACCUGUUCAUGUAAAUAACUCUUUGGUUAUGUGUAAUUUUUGUUGUCAAAAAGGUCACAUGAAUAGUGAUUGUUAUGUGAGAAAAAAUAUGAGAAGAGGCAUGAAAUGCAUGUGGAUAGUUAGACAUGAUGCUAAUUUUAACAAGUAGGAGGUUUUGUCUAAUCAUUGCAGUGAUUCUUGUUCAUAAUAUUUUUUCUUUUGAUACUUUGAUCUGAGUUUUCGCUGAUAUCUUUGAAUACUACUGAAUCUAUAUGAUGUCAAAAAGAGAGAUAAAAGAAUAAUGCUGAUCUCAUGAUGAUUUGCUGUGAUUGCUGUCAUUUCUCUAUUUUUUCUUGGAAUAUUGAAUUCUCUGUUAUUGUUGCUGGAUUAUAGUAGUUGAUUUUUACUCUUAUGAUGACAAAAAGGGGGAGAAAUGGAUGCAAUGUGUAAGGGGGAGUUAUUCUGAGAUUAUGAGUUUGGCUCUUAAAAGUUUUGGUUGCAAUGAUUGAGGGGGAGCUUAUACUUAUUUUUGUUUCUUUCCAUCCAUUGUUUUGUCAUCAUCAAAAAGGGGGAGAUUGUUGAUCUUGAUCCCUAUCUUUUGAUGUUUACAAAACAAAUGGAUGUUACUAAUGUCUCUUAAAAGAUCUAUUCAGUUAUGAAGCAAAUUAGUUCCAAAGAUCAAGUACAAUUGAAAGAUGACAAAGUAUGCUGAAGCUGUCGGACGCUCAAGAAGUCAGGAUCGGACGUCCGAUAAUCAUUGCACAACUUCGGACGCAUGCUUCGGACGUCCGAUAGGAUCCUUCGAAGUCGACGAAACUAUCGGACGCUGAAUAUGUCUCUACCGGACGUCCGAUAGAAACAAGAUAAUUUCUCAAAUCUGUUUGUUUGCUGUCGGACGCACAAAGAGCUUGCACCGGACGUCCGAAAGAAUUGAAGAAAAUCUCUGAAACUCACUGCCUGCUGUCGGACGCAUAAAACAGGGCUAUCGGACGUCCGACACUACCAACGGCUAGUUGACUGUUCAGCUACUUUCUAUCCGUUGGAAGCAUUAAUGAGGCACUUUCUUGGUCCUAUAUAAAUAGUGUUGGUCAGAUACUUCAAACAACUUUGGCACACUGAAGAUACAAAAGAUCUAGAGAGAUUUUAGUGAGAAAAUACUCUUCAAAGAAGAUUUGUAGUCUUAGUGGUGUGAGGUUCAUUGUAAGCUUUUCAUUUGUGAGUGAAUACUUCAUGAGUGUAGCUCUGUGAGGGUUGUCCUGAGGGAUAGUAAAACGUCCUGGCUUGACCGAGGGAGUUCGGGGCAAGGAGGAGGUGAACCUUCCUUUGUACACAAGAGUGAUUGUAAUUCAUCAAUUUGAAGUAGCUUGUUUGAAGCUCAAGAGGAGCUGGGUAGUUAAUUGGUUUGCAAUUCUUUCCUUUUACUUAUUGUUACAUUUAUGAUCUUUGCAUUGUUUAUCUCUUUCACUUGGUUGUUUCCGAUCCUUACAGUGGGGCUGAACUGGACCCCAAAACCCACUGUUCAACGGACUAUUUGAGCCAGCAAAGGUUUGGUCGGGCUGGACGGUAGUUUUGGAUAAAUGUUUCGGUAUACUCGAGUAUUAUCACGAGGAUGGGAGAUCAUUGCACUAAUUAUUGAAUGUAGGGGCUUGUUUGUUGUUUUAGAGGACAUAAGGAGGUGAAUUGGAGGAAAGUACGGUGAUAUUCAAAUAAAUGUGCAAUGAUGCUGAAAUGAAUGUACAAUGAUAGUGAAAUGAGUGUCUCUUGACACUGAAAUGAAUGUUCAAUGACAUUGAAGUGGCUCUAAUGCGAGCACCGUAUCCUUUUAAAAGUGAUUAUUUAGUAAAGUGUUUCUUCAAUUGCUUAAUGAAAGUGAUUGUACAGUGAAAUGUGCACUACUUGCUUAAUUGUACUGAUUUAAGUGUUUAUUAAAUGUUACUUGCUCGGCAAAUCUCACUGAGUUUUAGCUCAACCCUUUAGUUUUGCUUUCCUUACAGAAGUUGGUGGUCGGAGAAACAAACGAGGGAUCUUAGGGAGUUAACGUGAAGACUUUCGUGAUUAUAAAUUAUCUAGUAUCAUACCACGACUGAAACUAUUGUAUUGAAUUUGGCAUUGUAAAAGUUUUGAACGUGUGGUUUUAGUAUACCACAAUAUUUUCUGUGAAGUUAAUGUAAGUGAGUGAGCUCUGACGGGAGUUAGGCAGAUGAUCCGCUAACUUCUAGGGUUCGCUCUAAGAGAAGGUAGGGUCGUCACACUCUUUCUAUGAAUGGGACAAUAGAUCGGAUCUACUCAAGUUUCUGCCAUCAAGAGUAACUUGAA
Molecule: long non-coding RNA, 7281 nt
Filed under: Coffea arabica (coffee)
Lineage: Eukaryota; Viridiplantae; Streptophyta; Magnoliopsida; Gentianales; Rubiaceae
Description: long non-coding RNA (CARA_LNC001254)
Source: RNAcentral